AUGGCGUUCUGCAUCUGCGGCCGCCGGCAGUGUCCAACCUUGUCGCACGCCAUGGCUCGUGUCCUUGGCGGAGGAGCCUCUUCCGGCAGGGGAUCAACAGCAGCCUGCCGUGGCCUGCUGCGGCGCCUCCCAUGGCUGGUUAACCCCUUCACCGCAGCGUUGCUCCCGCUCCCGCCAAUCACCAGUUUUGCGUCGUGCAUCGAAGGGGUUUACGGAGAUGAAGGGAACAUCGUGGGCUAUCGUUACAAUUGUUACGAGAGUGACAGUGUCUAUGAUGUGCGGUCUCUUGGUGGGUUUUUCUAUGACAAGGUUGUGUUGUCCGGUUCUCCAUCUGCUGGUCCCGCAACUGCUUUGUCCAUGCACAUGGACGGUAAGCGACUCUCUUUUGCGAGGGUCGGAGAUAGUUCUUGGCGACAAGUUUCAAGUAUAAGGAGAAGUCUGGAUAGCUAUGCCGAUUGUGUCUACCACCGCGGCAGGUUCUACGUGGUGACAAUGGAAGGUAAAUUGAAGUCUUGGGGCCUCAGUGGACCGGAGGACGGACCGCGAAAGAAAACGAUCAUUGCCGAGGGAGAUGAUUACUUUUUUGAACUUAUCACGAGAUACCUGGUUUCAACUUGGUGGGGACAUCUUCUGCAGAUUCGUGUCGUCCUCGACAAGUAUCAGGAGCACUACGUUAGGGUUGAUGUAGACAGAUUGGAUCUCAAGAACAGCCAAAUGGUAGGAGUAAGCCCAGCAAAGGCUCUAAGGGGACACGCGGCGUUCCUUGGUCAGAAUAGCCGGGUAGUAGCUGGCAUGCUGACGAUCACAAGUUUGUAUGAUGUCCUGUCCCAGCACAAGGUUCAAUACUGA
RNAcentral lists this ribosomal RNA (849 nucleotides) under Triticum aestivum (bread wheat). RNAcentral's name for it is "partial small subunit ribosomal RNA". Lineage: Eukaryota; Viridiplantae; Streptophyta; Magnoliopsida; Poales; Poaceae. The record is from RNAcentral.